CCAAUAGCGUAUAUUAAAGUUGUUGCAGUUAAAAAGCUCGUAGUUGAAUUUUGGGUCUGGCCGGGCGGUCCGCCCUCCGGGUGAGUACUGUUCCGACGCCGGGCCUAUCCUUCUGGAGAGUCGGCAUGUCCUUUAUUGGGUGUGCCGGGGAACCAGAACCAUUACCUUGAAAAAAUUAGAGUGUUCAAAGCAGGCGUAUGCUCGGAUACAUUAGCAUGGAAUAAUGAAAUAGGACGCGUGGUGCUAUUUUGUUGGUUUCUAGAACCACCGUAAUGAUUAAUAGGGAUAGUUGGGGGCAUUAGUAUUCAAUUGUCAGAGGUGAAAUUCUUGGAUUUAUUGAAGACUAACUUCUGCGAAAGCAUUUGCCAAGGAUGUUUUCAUUAAUCAAGAACGAAAGUUAGGGGAUCGAAGACGAUCAGAUACCGUCGUAGUCUUAACCAUAAACUAUGCCGACUAGGAAUCGGGCGAUGUUAUUCUCAUGACUCGCCCGGCGCCUUAUG
RNAcentral lists this ribosomal RNA (500 nucleotides) under uncultured Glomeromycotina. RNAcentral's name for it is "partial small subunit ribosomal RNA". It matches the Rfam family "Eukaryotic small subunit ribosomal RNA", at positions 591 to 1092 of the family's 1831-position model. Lineage: Eukaryota; Fungi; Glomeromycota. The record is from RNAcentral.